This 253-nucleotide ribosomal RNA is filed under the name uncultured bacterium. Its description in RNAcentral is "partial 16S ribosomal RNA". It matches the Rfam family "Bacterial small subunit ribosomal RNA", at positions 524 to 776 of the family's 1533-position model. The record is from RNAcentral.
UACGUAGGGUGCGAGCGUUGUCCGGAAUUAUUGGGCGUAAAGAGCUUGUAGGCGGUUUGUCGCGUCUGCCGUGAAAUUUCGAGGCUCAACCUCGAACUUGCGGUGGGUACGGGCAGACUAGAGUGUGGUAGGGGAGACUGGAAUUCCUGGUGUAGCGGUGAAAUGCGCAGAUAUCAGGAGGAACACCGGUGGCGAAGGCGGGUCUCUGGGCCGUAACUGACGCUGAGGAGCGAAAGCGUGGGGAGCGAACAGG